This 390-nucleotide ribosomal RNA is filed under the name Triticum aestivum (bread wheat). Its description in RNAcentral is "partial small subunit ribosomal RNA". The record is from RNAcentral. Lineage: Eukaryota; Viridiplantae; Streptophyta; Magnoliopsida; Poales; Poaceae.
AUGUUGUUGCUUGCUUGUUCUGCCAGUGGUUUUGUUCACUUCCUUUUCUAUUUAUCUACUGCAUUCUUUUCUUUCCUAUGUGUUGUCAUGGAUAUUAGUUUCGAUUGUGUUUAUAUUCAGGAUUUGGCACAGAGUUUUGUUCUAUUUUGGCUCAUGCUUGCCGCUUGUGUGAUUGAACAUAUGGUGUUUUGUCUACUUAACCAUUUGUGUGUAGUAGUAUUCAUUUUAUCCUUGAUCAUGUGCGUAUGUACUACUGAAGUAGUUUUAAUUGAUAUAAAAGUUUUCAUGUAUUGCAGCUAUUUGACUUUGAGCAACCACAAUCUACAAGGAACGUUAGGAGUAAAUUAUAAUUUUCCAUCUCGAAAGCGUUUUGUAUGCAGAAUUGGUUAG